GACGAACGCUGGCGGCGUGCCUAAUACAUGCAAGUCGAACGCUUCUUUCCUCCCGAGUGCUUGCACUCAAUUGGAAAGAGGAGUGGCGGACGGGUGAGUAACACGUGGGUAACCUACCCAUCAGAGGGGGAUAACACUUGGAAACAGGUGCUAAUACCGCAUAACAGUUUAUGCCGCAUGGCAUAAGAGUGAAAGGCGCUUUCGGGUGUCGUUGAUGGAUGGACCCGCGGUGCAUUAGCUAGUUGGUGAGGUAACGGCUCACCAAGGCCACGAUGCAUAGCCGACCUGAGAGGGUGAUCGGCCACACUGGGACUGAGACACGGCCCAGACUCCUACGGGAGGCAGCAGUAGGGAAUCUUCGGCAAUGGACGAAAGUCUGACCGAGCAACGCCGCGGGAGUGAAGAAGGUUUUCGGAUCGUAAAACUCUGUUGUUAGAGAAGAACAAGGACGUUAGUAACUGAACGUCCCCGGACGGUAUCUAACCAGAAAGCCACGGCUAACUACGU
This 507-nucleotide ribosomal RNA is filed under the name uncultured bacterium. Its description in RNAcentral is "partial 16S ribosomal RNA". It matches the Rfam family "Bacterial small subunit ribosomal RNA", at positions 28 to 506 of the family's 1533-position model. The record is from RNAcentral.